This is an RNA transcript of Cebus imitator (Panamanian white-faced capuchin), 4345 nucleotides long. It is a transcript of the gene named rubicon like autophagy enhancer, with no coding region annotated. The record is from RefSeq and is a predicted model, not a curated record. NCBI's taxonomy places the organism in Eukaryota, Metazoa, Chordata, Mammalia, Primates, Cebidae. The transcript has 17 exons.
UUAGAGGAGUGAGCCACUGCACCCAGCCUUUUCUCUAGCUUUUAGUUUUGUCUCCAUUUUGUUGGAUUUGUUCUUUCAGUCUAUAAACAUGUACUGAACCCCUGUAUGCAACUCUAGGUUUAGGGCAUACUACCUGGCAGGGAACAGACAAGGCCCCUCCUCUCAUGGAGCUUAUAAUCAGGUGGGGAUGGGGGGAAGAAUGGCAGUGAUGAACUAAAAAAUAGCAGGAAGUGAGCACCUCUGUGAUGAAAACUAAAUGUGAGAGGUAAUGAUGGGGGAACUACCUUAAGAACGGUGGUUAGGAAAGAUAUCUUUGAGGAAGUAAUUUAUAAAUCAAGGCAUUCGUGACAGGAAAGAGAAAGAUGUGUGAUCAUCCAGGGGAGGAGCAUUUCAGAAAGAGGAAACAUAGAACAGCACUCCUAGAGUUAGAAGAACUCUAUAGGGCUCAAGAGCUUGCAGUGUGGUUGGGGCUUAUGGAGGCUGGAUGAAGAUAAGUAAGAGAGGUUCACAGGGACAGCCUCAUGUCAGGCCUUGAGGACAAGAAUAGGUCUCCAGACCCCCAGCUGGCCAUGUGGUGAGUUCAGGGCCCAAAUCAAGUAGUACAACAGCAAUUGGGGAACUCCCUCUAUCUGUUUUGAAUGGAUUCACACCAGCCCCACACCUGGAAAGAUGGUGUCACAGUCUACAGUCGGGCAGGAUUCUCCUGUGGACCCCUGGGAAGGGAUCAGCAAUCACCCUGACAUUAUUGAUGGUUCGCCCAGACUCCUGAACACUGACCAUCCUCCUUGCCAAUUAGACGUCAGGCUCAUGAGGCACAAAGCUUCCUGGAUCAGCCCCCAGGAUGUGCAGAAACAGCUGCAGGACUUGCAACCUCAGGUGCCAGCAGAGGGGAAAAGUGGGGCCCACUUUGUGAUGGACGCUGCCUCUCCCUCAGGCCCUUCACCUUUGUGCCUUGGGGACUCCCUGGCAGAGACAACAUUGUCAGAGGAUACUACGGACUCCACUGGCAGCACCUCUCCCCAUGGCUCGAGUGAAAAGAGGAGCAGCUUCUCUCUGUCCUCAACAGAAGGACAAGUGGUCCUCCCAGGACGCUCUGAUCAGGUGUCUCUGCUUACAAGCCCUAGGAUUUUGGACACCUCCCCAUAUCCUGAGAUUGACAGUGAUCUUUUUGAUCCUUCCCACUUGACAUCUUCUGCUGAUGAAGGUGCUGUUCAAGGCAGUAGAACCAUUUCUUUGAAUUCCUUCUCACCAGAGGUAUUUGUGCUGCCUGUCGAUGUAGAAAAGGAAAAUUCCCACUUUUAUGUUGCAGAUAUGAUUAUAUCAGCAAUGGAGAAAAUGAAGUGUAACAUUCUGAGUCAACAGCAGACAGAGAGCUGGAGUAAAGAAGAAGCACUUGGGUUACUUGGGAGUGAUCAGCCUGACUCUGAAGUGACUUUUGAUACCAACAUAAAGCAAGAAUCUGGGUCUUCCAUUUCUUCAUGCAGUGGCUAUGAAGGUUGUGCUGUGUUACAGGUCAGCCCAGUGACUGAAACACGUACUUAUCAUGAUGUGGCAAAAGAGAUUUGCAAAUGCGAUGUUGAUGAAUUUGUUGUUUUAGAGCUUGGAGAGUUUAAUGAUAUCACAGAAACCUGUAGCUGUUCCUGCAGCUUCUCUAAGAGUGUCACUUAUGAGCCAGACUUCAAUUCUGCUGAACUAUUAGCCAGAGAGCUGUACCGCGUAUUCCGGAAGUGCUGGAUACUGUCAGUAGUUAAUUCUCAGCUGGCAGGUUCCCUGACUGCAGCUGGCUCGAUAGUUGUAAAUGAAGAGCGUGUCCAAAAAGACUUUGAAUCCAGUAUGAAUAUAGUACAGGAAAUUAAAUUUAAGUCUAGGAUCAGAGGGACUGAAGACUGGGCUCCUCCUAGAUUUCAAAUCAUAUUUAAUAUUCAUCCACCACUCAAGAGGGACCUUGUGGUGGCAGCCCAGAAUUUUUUCUGUGCCGGCUGUGGAACUCCAAUAGAGCCUAAGUUUGUGAAACGGCUCCGGUACUGUGAAUACCUCGGGAAGUAUUUCUGUGACUGCUGCCACUCAUAUGCGGAGUCCUGCAUCCCUGCCCGGAUCCUGAUGUUGUGGGACUUCAGGAAGUACUACGUCAGCAAUUUCUCCAAACGGCUGCUCGACAGCAUAUGGCACCAGCCCAUUUUCAAUUUGCUGAGCAUCGGCCAAAGCCUGUAUACGAAAGCCAAGGAGCUGGACAGAGUGAAGGAAAUUCAGGAGCAGCUCUUCCAUAUCAAGAAGCUGUUGAAGACCUGCAGGUUUGCUGACAGUGCAUUAAAGGAGUUUGAACAGGUGCCGGGACACUUGGCUGAUGAGCUCCACCUGUUCUCUCUUGAGGACCUGGUCAGGAUCAAGAAAGGGCUUCUGGCGCCCUUGCUCAAGGACAUUCUGAAAGCUUGCCUCGCACACGUGGCCGGCUGUGAGCUGUGUCAAGGAAAGGGCUUUAUUUGUGAAUUUUGCCGGAAUACGACUGUCAUCUUCCCAUUUCAGACGGAAACAUGUAGAAGAUGUUCAGCAUUUCAGAUCAGUGGGUGAAGAUUGAGCAGACAACGGCUAAAGGUACAACUUCCCAGAAUUCUAGGAGGACCUGAAUUUUGGAACCACACAUCGCUUGCCAUACUGAGGUAAUUCUGAGGUGCAGCAAGUUUAUCUGUUUACUUAGAAGUUCCAGAGACUAAAACGUGAAGCAAAUCAGGCCCAUCUGGAACUCUCAGACACCAGGAGACUGCCUGAAUUUACAAGGUAGCUGCCUGCCGAGGCACCAGCCAGACUACCUGAUAGCAGGAAGAAGAACAGACAUAAAACAUAACAGGAAGCUGUGUUGCUCCAAAAAUAUCACAGGAUCGAAUGACACGAAAACCUUCACCAAACUUGGGACCAUGACACCAUUCACACUUGGAGGUGCUGAAAUGGAGGAAACAGCAAAUCAAGAGAUGUGAAAGCUGACCACAGAAUAAAGAAAGAUAUAUAACGUAAUAUAGAGAUUCCUUGGCUUGGGAGAAAGCAUGGAGCAAGAAGGAAAAGAAAGUGGGUUAAGACAUAAGUCUGUGGCCUGUUCGCUGGUCUCAGCCCAAGCAGUUGGUUGUUGAGUAGAAAUGAGGAAGAUGGAAGUGAAGAGGAGGCGAUCUCUCAAGAAUCUGAGAAUCCUUGAAUUUUCUAAGUAGGAAACCAACAGAGAAGAAACUCAAUAAAGCAAAAAUGGCAGCAUGACAUGGAAGAGACCCAGAAGUUAAUUUACAUCACAGACAAGGAUACAAAAGUUCUGGGAGGAAUGGAGGGUUGUUGUUGGAGUGUUCUGCUAUGUACAACCUCUUAUGAAAUGCAGCUAUUUGAAUUAUUAAUUUGUUAUAUUAUUUUUAUCGUUCUAGAAUUUUAUUUUACUCAUUUUUAAAAACAAAAAUACCAGUUCUGUGGUGAAAUUCUCCAAUGAUCUGUUUAUUUUCUUGGACAUAGUAAUCAUAGUCCUUUUUAAAUCCAUUUGAAACUCUAAUAUCUGAAUCAAAUAUAGGGCUAUUUCUAUUGCCUUUCUUUCUACUGUUUUUCAGAUAUUCUGUUUUUUUUAGAAUGCUUUGUAAUUUUUUAAUUUAAUGCUGGACUUUGAGUAUGAACUAUUUUAACAAGUCUGGAUAAUGCACUCUCUCUUGCUCUCUCUCUCUCUCUCUGGCUCUCUCGCUCUCUCAACAUGUGUUAGGUUUUCCUUGAUUAGGCAGAGAACACCAUUAUCAAAGAUUGAUUUGAGCUUUGUUAGGGCUUGGCUAUUUUGGUUUUGUCCUCUUUCCUAGAACAUCCUCUUUAUUCCUAAGGCAUGGAAUUUCAAUUCCAAUGUGUUUACAAAAGCCCCAACGCUUUGUCAGAGCUUGAACUCUACUAUCCACCCCUUGUGCAACCACAAAACUCUAUGAUCAAUUUCUUAUCUUCUCAGCUGAUGUUUUCUGCUGUGUUUCUUGGAGUCUUGUUCUACACAAGCACAGCUUAGAAAUCAGCUAGCACCCUUGAGGGAGUCUGUGUGCAGAUUUCUUUUCAGGAGAUUGUGAUAGAGUUUGGAUGUUGUCUUCUGUAAAUCUCAUGUUGAAAUGUAAUCCCCAAUGUUGGAUGUGGGUCCUGGAGGGAGGUGUUUGGGUCAUGCAGGCAGAUCUCUUAUGGCUUGGUGCUGUCCUUGUGAUAGUGAGUGUAAUUCUCAUUAGAUCUUGUUUAAAAGUACGUGGCAGGCCGGAUUUAGUGGCUCACACCUGUAAUCCCAGCACUUUUGGGAGGCCAAGAAGGGUGGAUCACUUGAUGUCAGGAGUUCGAGACCAAACUGGUCAACAUGGUG